RNAcentral lists this ribosomal RNA (639 nucleotides) under Hemibracon sp. RNAcentral describes it as "partial 28S ribosomal RNA". It matches the Rfam family "Eukaryotic large subunit ribosomal RNA", at positions 437 to 812 of the family's 3401-position model. The record is from RNAcentral. Lineage: Eukaryota; Metazoa; Arthropoda; Insecta; Hymenoptera; Braconidae.
CGAAUGGGGAGACUCAUCGUCAGCUCAUUUUAUAUAUAUGCUCGUUAUGAUAUGGGUUACUAUACUUGUGUAGUAUUGCCUGUACAUUCUGGUAUAUUUAAUUGUAAGAUGUUGUCGGCGUGCACUUCUCCCCUAGUAGGACGUCGCGACCCGUUGAGUAUGUUGGUCUACGGCCCAAGUGGAUGCUUUUAAUGAAUUUUUCAUAUUCAUUGAAAACCCUUGGUGUUUUCUGACUGGCACUCGUCGGUAUUCGUAUGGUAUUGAGCCGCAAUAUAUAUUAUAUGCGUCCAUAUCUGUCGCAAGCGAGGUUAGUAUAACUGAUAGUACGGACCUAGUGCCGUCGUUGGUGCUAAUCAGCUGUUGGUUGUACAGAAUUCUAGGACUGGCUUAUGUGAAAUACCGGUCAGCGAUGCUACUGCUUUGGGUACUUUCAGGACCCGUCUUGAAACACGGACCAAGGAGUCUAACAUGUACGCGAGUCAUUGGGAUUUUUAUAAAUUAAACCUAAAGGCGUAAUGAAAGUAAAGGUCGUCCUUGUGUCGACUAAGGGAGGAUAAGCUGUGUUACGAGACAGCUUCGCACUCUCGGGGCGUCUCAUUCUCAUUACGAGAAGAGGCGCACCUAGAGCGUACACGUUGG